AAGGUUGGCUAAUCCUGGUCGGACAUCAGGAGGUUAGUGCAAUGGCAUAAGCCAGCUUGACUGCGAGCGUGACGGCGCGAGCAGGUGCGAAAGCAGGUCAUAGUGAUCCGGUGGUUCUGAAUGGAAGGGCCAUCGCUCAACGGAUAAAAGGUACUCCGGGGAUAACAGGCUGAUACCGCCCAAGAGUUCAUAUCGACGGCGGUGUUUGGCACCUCGAUGUCGGCUCAUCACAUCCUGGGGCUGAAGUAGGUCCCAAGGGUAUGGCUGUUCGCCAUUUAAAGUGGUACGCGAGCUGGGUUUAGAACGUCGUGAGACAGUUCGGUCCCUAUCUGCCGUGGGCGCUGGAGAACUGAGGGGGGCUGCUCCUAGUACGAGAGGACCGGAGUGGACGCAUCACUGGUGUUCGGGUUGUCAUGCCAAUGGCACUGCCCGGUAGCUAAAUGCGGAAGAGAUAAGUGCUGAAAGCAUCUAAGCACGAAACUUGCCCCGAGAUGAGUUCUCCCUGAGACUUUAGGUCUCCUGAAGGAACGUUGAAGACGACGACGUUGAUAGGCCGGGUGUGUAAGCGCAGCGAUGCGUUGAGCUAACCGGUACUAAUGAACCGUGAGGCUUAACCUUACAACGCCGAAG
RNAcentral lists this ribosomal RNA (630 nucleotides) under Salmonella enterica subsp. enterica serovar Muenchen. RNAcentral describes it as "partial 23S ribosomal RNA". It matches the Rfam family "Bacterial large subunit ribosomal RNA", at positions 2313 to 2925 of the family's 2925-position model. The record is from RNAcentral. Lineage: Bacteria; Pseudomonadati; Pseudomonadota; Gammaproteobacteria; Enterobacterales; Enterobacteriaceae. RNAcentral also lists the same sequence under 2 other names.